This 706-nucleotide long non-coding RNA is filed under the name Arabidopsis thaliana (thale cress). RNAcentral's name for it is "long non-coding RNA (ATHA_LNC000357)". The record is from RNAcentral. Lineage: Eukaryota; Viridiplantae; Streptophyta; Magnoliopsida; Brassicales; Brassicaceae.
UCCGGCAUUUUGGGCAACUCCGGCUUCUGGAUCUCCGGUACCUUAGGAGCCUCAAGCUUGGGAACUUCUGGCAACUUUGGCAACUCAGGUUUCUGAAUCUCCGGCAUCUUAGGUAACUCCGGCAUUUUGGGCAACUCCGGCUUCUGGAUCUCUGGUACCUUAGGAGCCUCAAGCUUGGGAACUUCUGGCAACUUUGGCAACUCAGGCUUUGGAAUCUCUGGCACCUUAGGAGCCUCAGGCUUUUCAGUCUCCAUUAGCUUAGGCACCUCAGGCUUUGAAUUCUCUGGAAACUUUGGCAAAUCAGGCUUUGGAAUCUCUGGAAACUUUGGUAAUUCAGGCUUUGGAAUCUCCGGCAUUUUUGGUAACUCGGGCUUCUGAAUCUCCGGUACCUUUGGUAACUCAGGUUUUGGAAUCUCUGGCAUCUUUGGGAGCUCAGGUUUUGGAAUUUCCGGAAACUUGGGCAAUUCAAGCUUGGGAAUAUCUGGCAGUUUAGUUUCCUCAGGCUUUGGAAUCUCCGGUACCUUUGGUAACUCUGGCUUUGGAAUCUCCGGGAUCUUUGGCAACUCAGGCUUUGGAAAUUCGGGUAACUUGGGCAACUCUGGUUUAGGGAACUCCGGCAACUUGGGAACUUCGAAUUUAGGUAGCUCAGGCAAUUUUGGUAUCUCCGGUUUAGGAUCCUCCAAUAACCGGCGAGCACCGACUGAAA